Molecule: ribosomal RNA, 505 nt
Filed under: uncultured bacterium
Lineage: Bacteria
Description: partial 16S ribosomal RNA
Rfam family: Bacterial small subunit ribosomal RNA
Source: RNAcentral
GACGAACGCUGGCGGCGUGCCUAAUACAUGCAAGUAGAACGCACAGUUUAUACCGUAGCUUGCUACACCAUACACUGUGAGUUGCGAACGGGUGAGUAACGCGUAGGUAACCUGCCUGGUAGCGGGGGAUAACUAUUGGAAACGAUAGCUAAUACCGCAUAAUAUUAAUUAUUGCAUGAUAAUUGAUUGAAAGAUGCAAUUGCAUCACUACCAGAUGGACCUGCGUUGUAUUAGCUAGUAGGUGAGGUAACGGCUCACCUAGGCGACGAUACAUAGCCGACCUGAGAGGGUGAUCGGCCACACUGGGACUGAGACACGGCCCAGACUCCUACGGGAGGCAGCAGUAGGGAAUCUUCGGCAAUGGACGAAAGUCUGACCGAGCAACGCCGCGUGAGUGAAGAAGGUUUUCGGAUCGUAAAGCUCUGUUGUAAGAGAAGAACGGGUGUGAGAGUGGAAAGUUCACACUGUGACGGUAUCUUACCAGAAAGAGACGGCUAACUACGUG